Molecule: ribosomal RNA, 416 nt
Filed under: Ammonia sp.
Lineage: Eukaryota; Foraminifera; Rotaliida; Rotaliidae
Description: partial LSU ribosomal RNA
Source: RNAcentral
CGUAAUAACAGAAACUAACCAGGAUUCCCUUAGUAACGGCGAGUGAACUGGGAUACCAAUAUAUUUAUGCGUCUCUGGCGCAUAUUUUUAGCCCGUCGAUACUAUCCUAGCGUAUUACCGGUUUCGGCCGGUAGCCCAAUACGCGGGAAUUGUAGCAUCGUAAUAAAAUAUACACCAUGCCUGCGUCGCAAACGUAUAUACACGUAUACUCACACACACACAUACUCUCGUACGCGUACACACCCCUUGCAAACACACAGCGCUCCCGCGUUGGAAAGCAAGUCUAUAUCCUCUUUGGAUAUGCCAUAGAGUGUGACAGCCACGUUUGAAACACCCUAUGUACCGUACACACACAUACGUAAAAAUACGCGCUGCUUCGCAUACGCAUACCGUAUAUAACCUGAGUCGAGUUAUUU